RNAcentral lists this ribosomal RNA (465 nucleotides) under Vreelandella stevensii. RNAcentral's name for it is "partial 16S ribosomal RNA". It matches the Rfam family "Bacterial small subunit ribosomal RNA", at positions 338 to 795 of the family's 1533-position model. Lineage: Bacteria; Pseudomonadati; Pseudomonadota; Gammaproteobacteria; Oceanospirillales; Halomonadaceae. The record is from RNAcentral.
CCUACGGGGGGCUGUAGUGGGGAAUAUUGGACAAUGGGGGCAACCCUGAUCCAGCCAUGCCGCGUGUGUGAAGAAGGCCCUCGGGUUGUAAAGCACUUUCAGUGAGGAAGAACGCCUGGUGGUUAAUACCCAUCAGGAAAGACAUCACUCACAGAAGAAGCACCGGCUAACUCCGUGCCAGCAGCCGCGGUAAUACGGAGGGUGCGAGCGUUAAUCGGAAUUACUGGGCGUAAAGCGCGCGUAGGUGGCUUGAUAAGCCGGUUGUGAAAGCCCCGGGCUCAACCUGGGAACGGCAUCCGGAACUGUCAAGCUAGAGUGCAGGAGAGGAAGGUAGAAUUCCCGGUGUAGCGGUGAAAUGCGUAGAGAUCGGGAGGAAUACCAGUGGCGAAGGCGGCCUUCUGGACUGACACUGACACUGAGGUGCGAAAGCGUGGGUAGCAAACAGGAUUAGAUACCCUAGUAGUC